Molecule: long non-coding RNA, 3212 nt
Organism: Parus major (Great Tit)
Lineage: Eukaryota; Metazoa; Chordata; Aves; Passeriformes; Paridae
Exons: 4
Source: RefSeq, a predicted model, not a curated record
GCAUCUCAGACCUGUCCCCCCCACCCUGUCACCCCUUUAAGCCUCGCAGGGUGACGGCUGGGGCAGCCCGGGGUGCUGGACCCUCUGUCCGGGGACAAUUCCCGUGGGAGUGCAGCGGAGGCCGGGGCUGGAGAGGGGGCCUGGUUCGUGCCGACCUUUAUUUCACGGCUCAGGAUCUCGGGCGGGGGUGCCCUGCACCCAUCGGAUCCAACGGGUUCUUUCCCCAGGCCUCGCCAGUCCAGGAUUUAAGCUGGGAAUCCUUCCCGAGCUGUUUCUCCUCCCAGUAAAGCCAACUGGGAACCGGUAGCCGAGUAUGAGGAGAGGGGAGAAGGACGGAUGGAUGGGGGACACCCUCCUCUCUUCCAAGGGCAAAUCCCGAGGGAGAGGGAAGUUUGGGUGCUGCGGGACUGUGUGGAACAAAUACCCCGCUCUAAAAAAAUCUUUCUGCAGACGCCUCUGUCCGGCUCCCCCCUUUCCCCUCCACCCUCCCAGGCACUAAACGCAGGGCUCGGGGAUCGGAGGAGGUAAUUCCCCCGGCCUGUCAUCCCUGGAUGCAAAGCUUUGGUUUUAAAUGUAUUUCCAGCCGUACUUAAGACGAUGAAAGAUCAGGAAUUCGCUGUAUGCAUUUAAACGUUGCCCUUAAUAAGCAGAGUGUGCGGAAGCGCACGCCCGGCCUGUUUAGGGAAGACAGACACAUAAAACACACCCGAGCUCUGGGUAUAAACCUGCUCUCGGGGUCGCCUCGUUGCUCUUGAGGAUCAGCAAGGCUGGAAAAGCCGGGACGCAUCCAGCAGCAUCUCGAAACGUGCCGCUUUUCCUCCCUCCUAAAUCAAAGGCGUUCGGGGGGCACGUUCGCCAGGCACGGCCGGCCAGUGACCCCCACCUCGAAAUUACGACGCUCUGUUUCUCAUCGGGAAAUUUCCCGGUGGGGAAUAAUGGCUGGAAAAUGCGGCGGAGCAGCGCCUCGCUCCCCUUGCUCCGCACGCUAAAGGAGCCCCGGCUUCCCAUAGCACGGCUGCUCCGUGCUCCCGAAAUUUCUGAAUUAAAUGGCCACGACGGGGCAGAAGGAGCUCUGAAGUGGACCUCUCGAUUAAUUCUUUAGCAAAGGCUGCAGAAAGCCAGGAGAGCCUCAAGAGGGGAGGGGAUAAUGUAUCCGUGACGUGUCCUCCCUCGCAGCGCCCUCCGAGGGACCCAAAUCCAGAGGAGCCGGCGCGGAGCUUCAAUCAGCGCUUGCGAGGGGACGGGAGGCCGGCCCGGGGGGAGCCGGGGGCGGGGGCCGCAGAGCCCCUUACCCCUCUCUGCCCUUCUCGGUCACCCCGAGGGGGCUCUUUGUCCCACCCCACCCGGGUCACAGCUGCCACGGGGGGUGCGACACGCGUGGGGCUCCUUCCCCAGCCCCCAAAAGCCACCCGAGACUUUCCCCCGUUGUUGUGGCGCUGGGUAAAGCGCACCUGGGCACUCACACAGGUACGCGCGGCCUCAGCGCACAUUUACACCCUGUAAAUAAUCGCUAUUUUACGUAUUACACGUGUAUACACAAAAAUAUCUACACGGGGCCCCCGGUAGAUGCGGAGGAGGGGGCAGAGCUCCGUGGGAGCCGCUGAGCCGGGCUUAACCCCGGAGCUGCCGGAUCAGCGCUCGGCGGAGGAUGGAGCGGGCACCUCUGCAGAGCUCGUCACUAAAGCCGUGCCUGGGCUCUUUCCUCAUGUCCUGAGUGAGGGAAUUAAACCGGGACUGAGUCACUAAAGCCGUGCCUGGGCUCCUUCCUCAUGUCCCGAGUGAGGGAAUUAAACCGGGACUGAGCCGAGCCCGGCCGGGUUUAACCCGACGGGGGCUGCUUUUGGGGACAAAGCCCCACGAUGCGUCCCGGACACGCGUGGGGAUUAAAGCAGCAAGGAAAGAGGGAAGGGAGGGACAGGCAGAGCCCGGCGAGACGCGGCUCCACACCCAGGGCUCCGAGGGGGAUGGGACACACAAUGCACCGGUCCUUAAUAUUAAUCCCGCCAGAGGCCCGGCCGGCGGGCGAGUGUGUUUGCUUAAGCUCGCCCGGCCCUCUGUAAUUAUCCCAUUAGAGCAGAAAGAGCCCGGGCCGGGCACGGCGAGGGAAAGGCCGCGCUCUUUAACCCCGCGGCCGGGCCAGCGCAGCCCCCGGGAUGGCGAGCGGGGGCACCGCGGCACCUCCGGCUGCAGCAGCGGGCGAGAGGAGCCCCGAAGGGUUCCGGGACAAACCCGCACGGCCUCUGCUCCCAAAUCCAUCCCCUCCUGCCUCAGUUUUUACUGAAGCGUGUUUCGUCUGGGACUUUUUGCCGAGCAAAACAAAUGUAAAUUAAUUAAGGGGGAAAAAAACCCAACCAAACAAACUAAAAGAACAAACAACAACCAAAAAAACACCCCCCAAAAAAAUCCCAAAACAGAAAAAAUAUAACCAAAAACAGCCGUCGAAAAGAAACUUCAGCUUUGUGGGGAAAUUCUCAAAAUUCAAUGCAACCUCCGCCCGCCGCCGAAACUGGACGUAUGAGCAGAGGGUUUUCAACUGGAGAGGGAAAACAGGAAAACGAGAGGUGAGAAUCACCCCCGCGCACCCCCAAACAAACCCUUCCCUUGCUCGGGUGGGUGUCCCGUGUCUCCGUGACCCGAGGCUCCAAGAAAAGGGGUCCAACACCUUUUUUGGGGGGGUAAUUCCUCAUCUUUCAGGCACAGCCGGGACCGCUCCCGUCCCUGCCCCGCCCGGGAUCCAAAGGAAUUCCCAGGGUCGAGGUUUACAGGGACUCGCCACCCUCCCCGUGUCCCUGAAAGUGCCGCUCUUGCCACAAAAAAAACUCCUCAGCUCCGCGAUUUUGGUGUUGGUGGAGUUUUCCUACUUUUAUUUUUACUCCUCGGUGGAGGCUGGGGAGGAAAUCGGGGCUGCGGAGCCGAGCACAGAGCGGGGCUUAACUUUAGUCUGAUGUGCUUAGCUGAAGUAUUAACUGUGAGAAAUACCACCGAGCUCCACAGGAAAGAAAAUAUCGUCAGAUAUUUGAACAUUUCCAGUCUGCAGCAUCAGCACCGCUCCCAGCUCCAGGACCAGCGGUGCUGAUCGUCCCCGGAGGAAUCCCCCGGAUUUCUUUUUUUCCCUGUAACUACAGCUCCCAAGUGUGGCUGUACACACACAGCCGCUCACGCACGCAAAUCCUAUAAAUGCUAAUAAAACAGAUUCCUCAGGAUUUGUUUAA